This 254-nucleotide ribosomal RNA is filed under the name uncultured bacterium. RNAcentral describes it as "partial 16S ribosomal RNA". It matches the Rfam family "Bacterial small subunit ribosomal RNA", at positions 524 to 777 of the family's 1533-position model. The record is from RNAcentral.
UACGUAGGGUGCGAGCGUUGUCCGGAUUUAUUGGGCGUAAAGAGCUCGUAGGCGGCUUGUCGCGUCGGAUGUGAAAGCCCGGGGCUUAACUCCGGGUCUGCAUUCGAUACGGGCAGGCUAGAGUGUGGUAGGGGAGAUCGGAAUUCCUGGUGUAGCGGUGAAAUGCGUAGAUAUCGGGAGGAACACCAGUGGCGAAGGCGACUUCUUGGCCUGUUCUUGACGCUGAGGCGCGAAAGCUGGGGGAGCAAACGGGG